GCUAUACAUGCAGUCGAGCGAACAGAUAAGGAGCUUGCUCCUUUGACGUUAGCGGCGGACGGGUGAGUAACACGUGGGUAACCUACCUAUAAGACUGGGAUAACUUCGGGAAACCGGAGCUAAUACCGGAUAACAUUUGGAACCGCAUGGUUCUAAAGUGAAAGAUGGUUUUGCUAUCACUUAUAGAUGGACCCGCGCCGUAUUAGCUAGUUGGUAAGGUAACGGCUUACCAAGGCGACGAUACGUAGCCGACCUGAGAGGGUGAUCGGCCACACUGGAACUGAGACACGGUCCAGACUCCUACGGGAGGCAGCAGUAGGGAAUCUUCCGCAAUGGGCGAAAGCCUGACGGAGCAACGCCGCGUGAGUGAUGAAGGGUUUCGGCUCGUAAAACUCUGUUAUUAGGGAAGAACAAAUGUGUAAGUAACUGUGCACGUCUUGACGGUACCUAAUCAGAAAGCCACGGCUAACUACGUGCCAGCAGCCGCGGUAAUACGUAGGUGGCAAGCGUUAUCCGGAAUUAUUGGGCGUAAAGCGCGCGUAGGCGGUUUCUUAAGUCUGAUGUGAAAGCCCACGGCUCAACCGUGGAGGGUCAUUG
RNAcentral lists this ribosomal RNA (597 nucleotides) under Staphylococcus sp. 22(2011). Its description in RNAcentral is "bacterial SSU rRNA". It matches the Rfam family "Bacterial small subunit ribosomal RNA", at positions 48 to 628 of the family's 1533-position model. Lineage: Bacteria; Bacillati; Bacillota; Bacilli; Caryophanales; Staphylococcaceae. The record is from RNAcentral.